GAUGAACGCUGGCGGCGUGCCUAAUACAUGCAAGUCGAGCGAACCACUUCGGUGGUGAGCGGCGAACGGGUGAGUAACACGUAGGUGAUCUGCCCAUCAGACGGGGACAACGAUUGGAAACGAUCGCUAAUACCGGAUAGGACGAAAGUUUAAAGGUGCUUCUGGCACCGCUGAUGGAUGCGCCUGCGGCGCAGUAGCUAGUUGGUAGGGUAAAGGCCUACCAAGGCGACGAUGCGUAGCCGACCUGAGAGGGUGAACGGCCACACUGGGACUGAGACACGGCCCAGACUCCUACGGGAGGCAGCAGUAGGGAAUCUUCGGCAAUGGGCGAAAGCCUGACCGAGCAACGCCGCGUGAAUGAUGAAGGCCUUCGGGUUGUAAAAUUCUGUUAUAAGGGAAGAACGACUUUAGUAGGAAAUGGCUAGAGUGUGACGGUACCUUAUGAGAAAGCCACGGCUAACUACGUGCCAGCCGCCGCAGUAA
RNAcentral lists this ribosomal RNA (483 nucleotides) under uncultured bacterium. Its description in RNAcentral is "partial 16S ribosomal RNA". It matches the Rfam family "Bacterial small subunit ribosomal RNA", at positions 28 to 523 of the family's 1533-position model. The record is from RNAcentral.